RNAcentral lists this ribosomal RNA (259 nucleotides) under uncultured bacterium. RNAcentral's name for it is "partial 16S ribosomal RNA". It matches the Rfam family "Bacterial small subunit ribosomal RNA", at positions 95 to 354 of the family's 1533-position model. The record is from RNAcentral.
CCGGCGCACUGGUGAGUAACACGUAUGGAACCUGCCCGCAGCAGGGGGAUAAGCGGAAGAAAUUCCGUCUAAUACCGCGUAACAACGUUGGGAGGCAUCUCCCGAUGUUUAAAGAUUUAUCGGCUGCGGAUGGCCAUGCGGCGCAUUAGCUAGUCGGCGGGGUAACGGCCCACCGAGGCGACGAUGCGUAGGGGUUCUGAGAGGAAGGUCCCCCACACUGGUACUGAGACACGGACCAGACUCCUACGGGAGGCAGCAG